AGAGUUUGAUCCUGGCUCAGGAUGAACGCUGGCGGCGUGCUUAACACAUGCAAGUCGAACGAAGCACUUUAUUUGAUUUCCUUCGGGACUGAUUAUUUUGUGACUGAGUGGCGGACGGGUGAGUAACGCGUGGGUAACCUGCCUUGUACAGGGGGAUAACAGUUGGAAACGGCUGCUAAUACCGCAUAAGCACACAGCAUCGCAUGAUGCAGUGUGAAAAACUCCGGUGGUAUAAGAUGGACCCGCGUUGGAUUAGCUAGUUGGUGAGGUAACGGCCCACCAAGGCGACGAUCCAUAGCCGACCUGAGAGGGUGACCGGCCACAUUGGGACUGAGACACGGCCCAAACUCCUACGGGAGGCAGCAGUGGGGAAUAUUGCACAAUGGGGGAAACCCUGAUGCAGCGACGCCGCGUGGAGGAAGAAGGUCUUCGGAUUGUAAACUCCUGUUGUUGAGGAAGAUAAUGACGGUACUCAACAAGGAAGUGACGGCUAACUACGUGCCAGCAGCCGCGGUAAAACGUAGGUCACAAGCGUUGUCCGGAAUUACUGGGUGUAAAGGGAGCGCAGGCGGGAAGACAAGUUGGAAGUGAAAUCCAUGGGCUCAACCCAUGAACUGCUUUCAAAACUGUUUUUCUUGAGUAGUGCAGAGGUAGGCGGAAUUCCCGGUGUAGCGGUGGAAUGCGUAGAUAUCGGGAGGAACACCAGUGGCGAAGGCGGCCUACUGGGCACCAACUGACGCUGAGGCUCGAAAGUGUGGGUAGCAAACAGGAUUAGAUACCCUGGUAGUCCACACCGUAAACGAUGAUUACUAGGUGUUGGAGGAUUGACCCCUUCAGUGCCGCAGUUAACACAAUAAGUAAUCCACCUGGGGAGUACGACCGCAAGGUUGAAACUCAAAGGAAUUGACGGGGACCCGCACAAGCGGUGGAGCAUGUGGUUUAAUUCGAAGCAACGCGAAGAACCUUACCAAGUCUUGACAUCCUUCUGACCGGUACUUAAUCGUACCUUCUCUUCGGAGCAGGAGUGACAGGUGGUGCAUGGUUGUCGUCAGCUCGUGUCGUGAGAUGUUGGGUUAAGUCCCGCAACGAGCGCAACCCUUAUCUUUAGUAGCCAGCGGUUCGGCCGGGCACUCUAGAGAGACUGCCAGGGAUAACCUGGAGGAAGGCGGGGAUGACGUCAAAUCAUCAUGCCCCUUAUGAUUUGGGCUACACACGUGCUACAAUGGCGUAAACAAAGGGAAGCGAACCCGCGAGGGUGGGCAAAUCCCAAAAAUAACGUCCCAGUUCGGACUGUAGUCUGCAACCCGACUACACGAAGCUGGAAUCGCUAGUAAUCGCGGAUCAGAAUGCCGCGGUGAAUACGUUCCCGGGUCUUGCACACACCGCCCGUCA
This 1392-nucleotide ribosomal RNA is filed under the name uncultured bacterium. RNAcentral describes it as "bacterial SSU rRNA". It matches the Rfam family "Bacterial small subunit ribosomal RNA". The record is from RNAcentral.